RNAcentral lists this transfer RNA (72 nucleotides) under Rhizobium phage RHEph10. It matches the Rfam family "tRNA". Rfam says of the family: Transfer RNA (tRNA) molecules are approximately 80 nucleotides in length. The record is from Rfam by way of RNAcentral. Lineage: Duplodnaviria; Heunggongvirae; Uroviricota; Caudoviricetes.
GAGCUGGUGCCGGAAUUGGUCACGGGACGGAUUGCAAAUCCGUUCAUGCGGGUUCGAGUCCCGUCUAGCUCU